UUGGAGGGCAAGUCUGGUGCCAGCAGCCGCGGUAAAUCCAGCUCCAAUAGCGUAUAUUAAAGUUGUUGCAGUUAAAAAGCUCGUAGUUGAAUUUCGGGGUUAGUAGGUUGGUCAUGCCUCUGGUAUGCACUGGCCUCACUGAUUCCUCCUUCCUGAUGAGCCGUAAUGCCAUUAAUUUGGUGUUGCGGGGAGUUUGGACUGUUACUUUGAAAAAAUUAGAGUGUUUAAAGCAAGCUAACGCUUGAAUACAUUAGCAUGGAAUAAUGAAAUAGGACGUUCGAUCCUAUUUUGUCGGUUUCUAGGAUUGACGUAAUGAUUAAUAGGGAUAGUUGGGGGCAUUAGUAUUCAAUUGUCAGAGGUGAAAUUCUUGGAUUUAUUGAAGACUAACUACUGCGAAAGCAUUUGCCAAGGAUGUUUUCAUUAAUCAAGAACGAAAGUUAGGGGAUCGAAGACGAUCAGAUACCGUCGUAGUCUUAACCAUAAACUAUGCCGACUAGGGAUCGGAUGAUGUUAAUUUUUUAAUGACUCAUUCGGCGCCUUACGGGAAAC
Molecule: ribosomal RNA, 549 nt
Filed under: uncultured Glomeromycotina
Lineage: Eukaryota; Fungi; Glomeromycota
Description: SSU rRNA
Rfam family: Eukaryotic small subunit ribosomal RNA
Source: RNAcentral